AAUACGUAUGGUGCAAGCGUUAUCCGGAUUUACUGGGUGUAAAGGGUGCGUAGGUGGUGAGACAAGUCUGAAGUGAAAAUCCGGGGCUUAACCCCGGAACUGCUUUGGAAACUGCCUGACUAGAGUACAGGAGAGGUAAGUGGAAUUCCUAGUGUAGCGGUGAAAUGCGUAGAUAUUAGGAGGAACACCAGUGGCGAAGGCGACUUACUGGACUGCUACUGACACUGAGGCACGAAAGCGUGGGGAGCAAACA
RNAcentral lists this ribosomal RNA (253 nucleotides) under uncultured bacterium. RNAcentral's name for it is "partial 16S ribosomal RNA". It matches the Rfam family "Bacterial small subunit ribosomal RNA", at positions 522 to 774 of the family's 1533-position model. The record is from RNAcentral.